Biomphalaria pfeifferi is the source of this 299-nucleotide non-coding RNA. NCBI's taxonomy places the organism in Eukaryota, Metazoa, Mollusca, Gastropoda, Planorbidae. The record is from the annotation of a GenBank genome assembly.
UUUUAAAUUGAAAAUUUUUUAUUUUGAAUUUUGAUAAACAGAUAAUUUGCUACUUAAAACAUGAAUGUUGGGACAAUGUCAAUAGAGACCACAAAAACUCACAUGAUAGAUCUUUCAACAGCAAUGACAUGAACACAUUAAUGAGUUAAACACAGUAUCAACACUACUUCAAGCUGACACAGUUCAUCUUGUGUGUGUGUGUGUGUUUUGUUUACAAUAAUAGAACAACAAAAUAAAGCUGUCAUUUAAUCAUACUGUAAAGUUUGUAAUGAAAAAAAAAAUAUUCACAACAAUUAUCU